Molecule: transfer RNA, 356 nt
Filed under: uncultured Microcystis sp.
Lineage: Bacteria; Bacillati; Cyanobacteriota; Cyanophyceae; Chroococcales; Microcystaceae
Description: partial 16S-23S ribosomal RNA intergenic spacer
Rfam family: tRNA (bases 133-206)
Source: RNAcentral
AAGGGAGACCUAAUUCAGGUAGGAGACGAAAAAAAAGUAGUCCCAACCAAGAAUCAAUCCCAAAAGGUCGGAACGAGGUAUGAGGCUUUCAAACUAGGUUCUGGGUUCAUAAAAGACCUGAAUCAGGAACAAGGGCUAUUAGCUCAGGUGGUUAGAGCGCACCCCUGAUAAGGGUGAGGUCCCUGGUUCGAGUCCAGGAUGGCCCACCUGCACAGGUGGCAAAAACAAGAGAAGCUCCGAAUCAGCACCUUAUCUUAUCUAUAUAUAAGAGAGAAUGCUGGCUCUGAGUAAAGAGUCCAGAGGAACCUUGAAAACUGCAUAGAGCUAGGUGAAAAAGCCAAAAAAGAAGACCGCAA